Molecule: long non-coding RNA, 1112 nt
Organism: Manihot esculenta (cassava)
Lineage: Eukaryota; Viridiplantae; Streptophyta; Magnoliopsida; Malpighiales; Euphorbiaceae
Exons: 2
Source: RefSeq, a predicted model, not a curated record
CCAAGAGCUGCCGACAGAAUAAAAAAACCCUAGUUGCUCUAUAGCUCUCUAUAUAGCGAUGUGAUUUUGUCAUAGCCGCUGAGUGACUCCUACCUUCUAACCCGGAAGCCCACUCUUUUCGUUUCUAGAGAUCCGAGCUUUCCUACUUCCAUACAUAUCAUCAUCUACUGAGAUCUGAAGUUAGUAAUGGGAGGAAAUGGAGAGGGAGUUAGGAUUAUCGGAAGGUUAUGGGUGGGUGAGUGGAUAAGAUGACUAAUUGAUUGAUUUUCAUGGUUAGUAUUAUCUUACCCACACCACCCAUUCCAUAGGUUUCCGAUUAUUCCUCCCUCUCCUCGUCGCCUCUGCUCUGUUAUUCUUCAUCAAUCGCAUGAGCUUUCAACUCUUAUGGAGGUCAAGUGGUGAUUAGGUAUUUCUUCAGAUUUAUCAACAAAAUUGCCAUUCUAUUGAAUGUUUUAGCUAUUUACCAUUAGCUUUAGCUUGAAUUUAUUCAAUGCCAUAGAAAUUACUAUUUGAUUUGUUCUGCAUUCAUGUUACAAAUAAUUAAAACAUUAUUAAAUAUAAAAUACCAAAGAAAGUAUAUGUUGAAUUUUGAAAAUUAAAUAAUUUCACAUAGAUCACUGUCCUUUAAAUCACUGUCCUUCCCACUAUGUUGCUAUUGGGUUCUUUAAGGAUAAAUGAAAUUAAGUGAUAAUGAAUAAUUAUUUUGUGGAUGUCUGCAAGAAAUAAAUGAGAAAUUAUUUUUUUGAGAUAAUGUAGAACAGUUCUUCAUUCUCUGUAUUUAUGCCUUCAUCUCAAGACAUGGUAACAGUUAUUUAGGCAACAGUUGUAUCUCUCGGUUUGAUUCAAGCUGCUUUUGGCAGUGAGCUUGUUUAAAAAGAUCAUCCUCUUUUGUCUCUUUGAGCUUCGGCACUAUAGCUGUUUUGGCGUUCUCCCUAUAUGUGUUCAUGAAGGAUCCCAUGGCGUUACUGUGAUAAUAGAGUGGGUUUCUCAUGGGGUGGAUUUGUUUUCUUAUGGGUCGGGUUCUGGAUUGUGUUGUUUUUAUUUCUUUUGGAGCCCCGAGCCCUCUGAAAGUAAUUUGUUGGUUUGAUUCUAUGGAUUUUUAGGUUUAUUUU